Molecule: small RNA, 312 nt
Filed under: Histoplasma ohiense
Lineage: Eukaryota; Fungi; Ascomycota; Eurotiomycetes; Onygenales; Ajellomycetaceae
Description: hypothetical lncRNA
Source: RNAcentral
CAGGAUCGGAAGGAUGGGAUAUCAUUUCAUGUCCGUUAGUCUGAGGAUGGUGGAUGGCGGAUGGUGGGUAGGCGCUGGUUUUAACAAUGGUAAGAUACGAUGCUUUUUGUUGCCCACUAGUUUUUGGGGGGGUGUUUGGGGAGGAUGCGCCCUUUGCAGCAGAGAAGGGCAAUGUAAGUAAGUGUUAGACCGCGAACAGUGCAGUGCCAGUGGAAGGCCCGCUAGGAGGAGGCCAUCGGCCAUCGUUUGUCCAUGGAACGACGGGGAGCAAACACAGGCUGUUUCAAAGGGUCACGGCGUGAACGAUUGGCU